This 293-nucleotide ribosomal RNA is filed under the name uncultured Pseudomonas sp. Its description in RNAcentral is "partial 16S ribosomal RNA". It matches the Rfam family "Bacterial small subunit ribosomal RNA", at positions 1089 to 1382 of the family's 1533-position model. Lineage: Bacteria; Pseudomonadati; Pseudomonadota; Gammaproteobacteria; Pseudomonadales; Pseudomonadaceae. The record is from RNAcentral.
GUAACGAGCGCAACCCUUGUCCUUAGUUACCAGCACGUUAUGGUGGGCACUCUAAGGAGACUGCCGGUGACAAACCGGAGGAAGUGGGGAUGACGUCAAGUCAUCAUGGCCCUUACGGCCUGGGCUACACACGUACUACAAUGGUCGGUACAAAGGGUUGCCAAGCCGCGAGGUGGAGCUAAUCCCAUAAAACCGAUCGUAGUCCGGAUCGCAGUCUGCAACUCGACUGCGUGAAGUCGGAAUCGCUAGUAAUCGUGAAUCAGAAUGUCACGGUGAAUACGUUCCCGGGCCUU